Molecule: long non-coding RNA, 266 nt
Filed under: Elaeis guineensis (African oil palm)
Lineage: Eukaryota; Viridiplantae; Streptophyta; Magnoliopsida; Arecales; Arecaceae
Description: long non-coding RNA (EGUI_LNC066050)
Source: RNAcentral
GAUAUCGGACGAGCUUCUACGACGGACGGACUUUGGCAGCUGGAUUUCUACAACAGUCGAUCGCCUCUGGUGUCUGCCAAACCUCCCCAACACCAUCCGAGGUCCACCACUGGUCGACCCUCCGCCAGAUUCUUCAUGAAAUCGGACUUCUUCGAUGGAUAAUCCUUAGACGAGCUUUCACAUCAGGCAAAUCUCUGACGGACUUCUCUAGCAAUCGAACUCCUACCGGACUUCACCAACAGAAAGUCUCCAUCCGAGCUUCUACG